This is a long non-coding RNA of Carassius carassius (crucian carp), 511 nucleotides long. RefSeq lists it as uncharacterized. The record is from RefSeq and is a predicted model, not a curated record. NCBI's taxonomy places the organism in Eukaryota, Metazoa, Chordata, Actinopteri, Cypriniformes, Cyprinidae. The transcript is spliced from 5 exons.
GCAGAGUACAUGGAAUGGAUGUGUGUCAUUUUUUUUCUCGAAGUGCUGAAGAUAGCUGUGGUCUUUGAGACAUCUGUGCUGAAACGUAUGUUGAAAGAGGAAGAACGUUCAAGAGUCCAGAGACGACGACGGCAGACUGAGACGAGUCAACAAGGAUCAAAUACAUGUAGUUAUUGACUGCUAAAUUCUACUAGUUAUUGUCUGUUAAAUAAAACACUGUUUGAUGUUUGUUUUUUGUAUCUGUGUGUUAUAGUGCCUCUGUAAUGAAAUCAUGUUCAUGUUUGGAGCAGUUGGUCUUGUUUUGUUGAACUCUGUUACACUGACAGCAGAACUGAUCCUGAAAGCACGAAAUGGUGAGCGUGUCAUGAAGGAUAUGAGAGUCAUUGUCUUCCCUUCUGAAAGUGUUUUUGUCUUGUGUUGGCUGAUUUUACAAAUGCAUGCUUACUUGAGGAAUGUUAUAACUGGAUCUAAACACAAUCAAGGGAACUUAGAUCAAAGAGUUCAACUCAUG